Molecule: ribosomal RNA, 481 nt
Filed under: uncultured bacterium
Lineage: Bacteria
Description: bacterial SSU rRNA
Rfam family: Bacterial small subunit ribosomal RNA
Source: RNAcentral
AUGCAAGUCGAGCGGUAACAGGUGUAGCAAUACAUGCUGACGAGCGGCGAACGGGUGAGUAAUGCUUCGGAAUCUGCCCAAUGGUGGGGAAUAACCAGCCGAAAGGUUGGCUAAUACCGCAUAAGUCCCACGGGGGAAAGCAGGGGAUCGUAAGACCUUGCGCCGAUGGAUGAGCCGAAGUCGGAUUAGCUAGUUGGUAGGGUAACGGCCUACCAAGGCGACGAUCCGUAGCUGGUCUGAGAGGACGACCAGCCACACUGGGACUGAGACACGGCCCAGACUCCUACGGGAGGCAGCAGUGGGGAAUAUUGGACAAUGGGGGAAACCCUGAUCCAGCGACGCCGCGUGUGUGAAGAAGGCCUGCGGGUUGUAAAGCACUUUUAGUGGGGAUGAAAAGCUCAGGGCUAACACCUCUGGGUCUUGACCUAACCCAAAGAAAAAGCACCGGCUAACUCUGUGCCAGCAGCCGCGGUAAUACAGA